This 132-nucleotide small RNA is filed under the name Escherichia coli. Its description in RNAcentral is "RtT sRNA". It matches the Rfam family "RtT RNA". Rfam says of the family: This family represents a bacterial cis-regulatory element known as RtT RNA. The exact function of RtT is unknown although it is thought that it may be involved in changing the cellular response in relation to amino acid starvation. The record is from RNAcentral. Lineage: Bacteria; Pseudomonadati; Pseudomonadota; Gammaproteobacteria; Enterobacterales; Enterobacteriaceae.
GUUUGCACUCAUCGGGGAAGGGUGAGAACCUUCGACUAAGGUUCGAUUCGAGCGAAAGCGAGAGAACGUUGCCACAGGCAACGGCCCGGAGGGUGAGGAGCGAAGCGACGAAUAAUCCUUCCCCCACCACCA